Molecule: ribosomal RNA, 465 nt
Filed under: Vreelandella stevensii
Lineage: Bacteria; Pseudomonadati; Pseudomonadota; Gammaproteobacteria; Oceanospirillales; Halomonadaceae
Description: partial 16S ribosomal RNA
Rfam family: Bacterial small subunit ribosomal RNA
Source: RNAcentral
CCUACGGGAGGCAGCAGUGGGGAAUAUUGGACAAUGGGCGAAAGCCUGAUCCAGCCAUGCCGCGUGUGUGAAGAAGGCCUUCGGGUUGUAAAGCACUUUCAGUGGCGAAGAAAGCCUUGGGGCUAAUACCCUCGAGGAAGGACAUCACCCACAGAAGAAGCACCGGCUAACUCCGUGCCAGCAGCCGCGGUAAUACGGAGGGUGCGAGCGUUAAUCGGAAUUACUGGGCGUAAAGCGCGCGUAGGCGGUCUGAUAAGCCGGUUGUGAAAGCCCCGGGCUCAACCUGGGAACGGCAUCCGGAACUGUCAGGCUAGAGUGCAGGAGAGGAAGGUAGAAUUCCCGGUGUAGCGGUGAAAUGCGUAGAGAUCGGGAGGAAUACCAGUGGCGAAGGCGGCCUUCUGGACUGACACUGACGCUGAGGUGCGAAAGCGUGGGUAGCAAACAGGAUUAGAUACCCUAGUAGUC